Molecule: long non-coding RNA, 864 nt
Filed under: Homo sapiens (human)
Lineage: Eukaryota; Metazoa; Chordata; Mammalia; Primates; Hominidae
Description: HSALNT0196485
Source: RNAcentral
GGGCAAAUGUGGACAGAAAGGAUACUGUGUAGGAACAAGCCAAAAAAACCCUCCCUGCCCCAGCUUCCACCUCCAAAAGAGGCUUCACCUGCCGGCUGUUUAAACGUUACGUUUGAGGGUUCGAGGUCAGGAGAGGGAGAACAGGUUGAUCCCAGGAUGCCGGGCACCUGUUGGGGAAUCAGCAGCAACCUGGGGGCCGGGGGGUCUGUUCCAGGUCGGGCAACUCUGCCCCUUCCUGGCUCCUCUUACAGAACAUGGUGGCAAGGGAUUCCUGGGGAAAAGAGGCAGAUGCAGGCCCGAGGCUCUGCCCUGGACCUGGCAGCAGCCUCAGGGAGCCCACGGUUGCCUGCAGCAGUCAGACACUUGCUCUGUUUUUCUGCCCCAUCCUAAAUGAAAAGAGGCUGGAGAGAGCGUUGUGUGCGGGUCAGGCACCUGUUCCUGGCAGGAAGGAAAGGCAAGAGAAGGGAGUCUCUCUCACCUCCCCGAUCCCUCCUCUUCCAUCUGCUUGGAGUUCUUGCUCCCUGGUUUGAAACAUUGCCGUGACUGUGCCCCUGGUACACAUUAAAAGGCUUUGGGGUUUAUUUUUAUUUCGCUUGGCUCAGAGGGAUGGAAAGAUGGUCUGGUUUGGCAGCUGCCUGCAGGGAGGACCUUGGGGUGUCCAAGAAAAUCAGUGUGUGCUUUAAAAGAAAUCAGGCGGGAUGACAGGAAAUCGGGAGGCGGUGCCAGGAGGAGCUCACACUCCCUCCUCUAUCUCGGUGAGGGGAGGGGCGGUAGGCCCAGAGUGGCUGGGACAGGUCGGGGAGGCAGAUGACAGGAAGAGGCCCAGGCAGCAGAGCAGCCACCUCCACGCAGGCCUGGGGCCUU